This 2174-nucleotide ribosomal RNA is filed under the name human gut metagenome. Its description in RNAcentral is "bacterial LSU rRNA". It matches the Rfam family "Bacterial large subunit ribosomal RNA", at positions 14 to 2254 of the family's 2925-position model. The record is from RNAcentral.
AGAGCGCACGGUGGAUGCCUUGGCACUAAUAGGCGAAGAAGGACGCGACUAACAGCGAAAUGCUACGGGGAGCAGUAAGUACGCAGAGAUCCGUAGAUGUCCGAAUGGGGGAACCCACUAGUUUGAAGAACUAGUAUCAUAUAGUGAAUACAUAGCUAUAUGAGGCAAACCUGGAGAAUUGAAACAUCUUAGUACCCAGAGGAAAAGAAAAUAAAUAAUGAUUCCCUAAGUAGAGGCGAUUGAAAGGGGAAGAGCCCAGCACCAUCAAGAGUUACAAAAUCUUUUUAUAGUAGAAUUGUAUUGGAAAAGCAAGUCAAAGAAGGUGAAAGCCCUGUAUACGAAAUAAAGAGAUCUCGGUGUGAGAGUAGGGCGGAGCACGUGAAAUUCUGUCUGAAUAUGCGAGGACCAUCUCGUAAGGCUAAAUACUCAUUAGUGACCGAUAGUGAACCAGUACUGUGAAGGAAAGGUGAAAAGAACCCCUGGCGGGGAGUGAAAAGAACCUGAAACCGUGUGCUUACAAACAGUUAGAGCCCAUCAAUGGGUGAUAGCGUGCCUUUUGUAGAAUGAGCCGGCGAGUUACGUUAAUUUGCAAGGUUAAGCUUUUAGGAGUGGAGCCGUAGCGAAAGCAAGUCUUAAUAGGGCGAAUAAGUAGAUUGACGUAUACCCGAAACCGGGUGAUCUAGCCAUGAGCAGGUUGAAGCUUGGGUAAAACCAGGUGGAGGACCGAACCAGGGUCUGUUGAAAAAGACUUGGAUGACUUGUGGCUAGGGGUGAAAUUCCAAUCGAACCCGGAGAUAGCUGGUUCUCCCCGAAAUAGCUUUAGGGCUAGCGUUGUGAGAAGAGUUAUACGAAGGUAGAGCACUGAAUGGGUGAGGGCCGCACCUCGCGGUACCAAUCUCAAUCAAACUCCGAAUGUCGUAUAAUAUGCGCAGCAGUAAGACUAUGGGUGAUAAGGUCCAUGGUCAAAAGGGAAACAGCCCAGACCGCCAGUUAAGGUCCCAAAAUUAUGCUAAGUGGGAAAGGAGGUGGAGUCGCUUAAACAACUAGGAGGUUGGCUCAGAAGCAGCCAUCCUUUAAAGAGUGCGUAAUAGCUCACUAGUCGAGUGAUUCUGCGCCGAAAAUGUAUCGGGGCUAAGCAUAAUACCGAAGCUGCGGGAUUAGAUGAAGAAUCUAGUCGGUAGGGGAGCGUACUAAGUGCGUAGAAGGUUGACCGGAAGGGCAGCUGGAGCGCUUAGCAGUGAGUAUGCCGGUGUGAGUAGCGAUAAGAUGGGUGAGAAUCCCAUCCGUCGAAAGCCUAAGGUUUCCAGGGGUAAGGCUCGUCCUCCCUGGGUAAGUCGGGUCCUAAGGUGAGGCUGAGAAGCGUAGCUGAUGGACAUCAGGUUGAUAUUCCUGAACCACCAUAAAACUGAAGGAAUGACGGAGGAGGCUAAUCAGAGCUGAUUAAUGGAUUUCAGUUUAAGUACAAAGAGGGUUACGUAGGCAAAUCCGCGUAGCAAAACCUUGAAGUAUGAUGACGUAAGUCUGGUGAAGCCACACUUCCAAGAAAAGUUUCUAGGUGUAUUUUAUGGUGCCCGUACCGUAAACGGACACACGUAGGCGAGGAGAGAAUCCAAAGACGCGCGAGAUAAUUCUUGUUAAGGAACUCUGCAAAAUUACUCUGUAACUUCGGAAUAAAGAGGGCUCCCGUGAGGGAGACGCAGAAAAUAGGCCCAAGCGACUGUUUAACAAAAACAUAGGUUUCUGCUAAAGCGUAAGCUGAUGUAUAGGAGCUGACGCCUGCCCAGUGCUGGAAGGUUAAGAGGAGAAGUUAGUCGCAAGGCGAAGCUUUGAAUUGAAGCCCCAGUAAACGGCGGCCGUAACUAUAACGGUCCUAAGGUAGCGAAAUUCCUUGUCAGGUAAGUUCUGACCCGCACGAAAGGCGUAACGAUUUGGGCGCUGUCUCAACAAGAAACUCGGUGAAAUCAUAGUACCUGUGAAGAUGCAGGUUACCCGCGAUCAGACGGAAAGACCCCAUGGAGCUUCACUGCAACUUAAUAUUGAUAUUGGGUGUGUGAUGUACAGGAUAGGUGGGAGACAAAGAAGCGAGUACGCUAGUAUUCGUGGAGUCAACCUUGGGAUACCACCCCUCGCACAUUUAGUAUCUAACUAGUUUCCAUAAGCUGGGAAUAGAACAG